GACGAACGCUGGCGGCGUGCUUAACACAUGCAAGUCGAACGGAAAGGCCCUGCUUUUGUUGGUUGCUCGAGUGGCGAACGGGUGAGUAACACGUGAGUAACCUGCCCUUGACUUUGGGAUAACUUCAGGAAACUGGGGCUCAUACCCGAUAGGAGCUCCUGCUGCAUGGUGGGGGUUGGUAAGUUUCGGCGGUUGGGGCUGGACUCGCUGCUUCUCAGCUUGUUGGUGGGGUAGUGGCUUACCAAGGCUUUGACGGGUAGCCGGCCUGAGAGGGUGACCGGCCACAAUGGGACUGAGAUACGGCGCAGACGCCUACGGGAGGCAGCAGUGGGGAAUAUUGCACAAUGGGCGGAAGCCUGAUGCGGCAACGCCGCGUGCGGGAUGACGGGCUUCGGGGGGUAAACCGCUUUCGCCUGUGACGAAGCGGGAGUGACGGUAAUGGGUAAAGAAGCACCGGCUAACUACGUG
RNAcentral lists this ribosomal RNA (468 nucleotides) under uncultured bacterium. RNAcentral's name for it is "partial 16S ribosomal RNA". It matches the Rfam family "Bacterial small subunit ribosomal RNA", at positions 28 to 507 of the family's 1533-position model. The record is from RNAcentral.